UGAGGAAUAUUGGUCAAUGGGCGAGAGCCUGAACCAGCCAAGUAGCGUGCAGGACGACGGCCCUAUGGGUUGUAAACUGCUUUUAUGUGGGGAUAAAGUGCGUGACGUGUCAUGCAUUGCAGGUACCACAUGAAUAAGGACCGGCUAAUUCCGUGCCAGCAGCCGCGGUAAUACGGAAGGUCCGGGCGUUAUCUGGAUGUAUUGGGUUUAAAGGGAGCGUAGGCUGUCUAUUAAGCGUGUUGUGAAAUAUACCGGCUCAACCGGUGGCUUGCAGCGCGAACUGGUCGACUUGAGUAUGCAGGAAGUAGGCGGAAUUCAUGGUGUAGCGGUGAAAUGCUUAGAUAUCAUGACGAACUCCGAUUGCGCAGGCAGCUUACUGUAGCAUAACUGACGCUGAUGCUCGAAAGUGCGGGUAUCAAACAGG
Molecule: ribosomal RNA, 424 nt
Filed under: Verrucomicrobiota bacterium
Lineage: Bacteria; Pseudomonadati; Verrucomicrobiota
Description: Verrucomicrobia bacterium partial 16S ribosomal RNA
Rfam family: Bacterial small subunit ribosomal RNA
Source: RNAcentral